GCCUGCUCAGCUACACACCUCCAGGACGCUCAGAACUGCUGCUCAUCCCGACAAGAUACGCUCUAGCACCACUCACUCCCAAUCGCACACCGGCGCCCGUCCUCCUCGUCUCGCCUGAUUCACUCACCGCAAUCCAGCUCAUCCACCCGCCUACCCAGCCAGCACCGCCGUUCAAGGCUCAGCAGGGCUCGCACUACCAGGAGGACCAGUAUGCGGACCUGCCUUAUGCGGGCUUCCCUGAGCACACGCCAGAGACGAAGGUGCUCUGCUGCGGUCUAGGCGGUUCCCUCCUCGACUUGCGCCAACGUUCCCCUCCUCAACUUACGCAGCUCGCUCUCCUUCCGUAUAUCGCAUUCCACCUGAUGCCGAUACUGCUUUUCUGCACGCGGCAUUCAUCAUCUCCGCCUCUAUGCGCUCAAUCGCUGCUGUCCAGCCGCUCGGACGCGUUCCUUCUUUGCGCGCCAACCUCGAGACUUCUUAGCCUUCGUCUUGCGACUAGGCUGCGGCCCUCGCAUCGAGCUCAUCACGAUAUGGACAGACUCAUGCAUCUCGCCAACCUAUACCGACCUGCGGCUUCUGACACCGUUCACUCACUCUCACCUUCCCCUCCACCUUCGCAACUCUCGCUUCCUCAAAACCCUCCUUGAACAGCCGCAAGUCGCACGGCUACGAAUGCUGUCGAGUCUUCGGAGGAGCGGAGACCAAGAGCGGCGGCUUUCGGAGGACUCCGCGCCUCGACAACUUCGACAGGCGCUCAAGCGAGCGGGAGGAGGAGGUGCGAGGAAAGAUCGCUCUUGCCUCUUCCUUCGAUAGUAACGAGAGCCAUAGGAUCACAACGGACGCGUCGCAGCUUUACGCACUCGUCGACAGGAGGUCGGCGCCACGCUAGCCUCGCUCGAGACGACGAUCCGCCUCUCCCUCUCCCGCCCGCCUCCCGUCCCUUCCCUUUCUUCUUCUCCUGUCUCCUUGUUACUCUCCUCCCCAUCGUUUUGGUCUGCUAGACGCGCAUUCGGGCGCACCCCUUCGUCGUUUUCCCCUUUCCCCCCUCGACUUCCGUUCCCUCGCCUCUCGCUUCUCCUUCCUCCCGCGUUCUCUGCAGCUUCCCCUAACUCUCGCCUCUCACUCAAGCGGUACACUGGAUGGAAAAGAUGCGAAUUGCCUCAGC
This 1165-nucleotide unclassified non-coding RNA is filed under the name Rhodotorula toruloides. The record is from RNAcentral. Lineage: Eukaryota; Fungi; Basidiomycota; Microbotryomycetes; Sporidiobolales; Sporidiobolaceae.